Cryptomeria japonica (Japanese cedar) is the source of this 2411-nucleotide RNA transcript. It is a transcript of the gene named sulfite exporter TauE/SafE family protein 4, with no coding region annotated. NCBI's taxonomy places the organism in Eukaryota, Viridiplantae, Streptophyta, Pinopsida, Cupressales, Cupressaceae. The transcript has 14 exons. The record is from RefSeq and is a predicted model, not a curated record.
ACCAACAUGUGCAGAGGACACAUGGGCAAACCCUUGACAGAAUAUAUUCUGUACAAUUGGCCGCCAUUAAAAUAAUUCUGAAUCGUAAAAUAGGUAGUCUAAAUCCGCAGAACGGAAGGAGGAUAGAAAAUAAUUCAUGCUCAAAUCACAAUCGAACUGUCUCAAUCCAUUCUCCGACCACAUACUGCCCUCCCUUAUCUGACCAAUGUACGAUUUCAGAGACGCCUACCCUUUUAUUUUCAAGAGUCCUCUGAUUUCGGUAUUCCUUCACCAAGACUUUUUGUUUUAUGCUUUCCCUAGCCAACUUCGACUCAGCUUCCUCGUACGUGCUCCCCAUAUCUCACCAGUUCUGGGAGGGACCUUCCUUUGAGCGGCAUCCAUAUUUAUUUGCCCUAUUUGUUCUUCUGAGAGCAGAAAACCACAAUGGAAUUUUUUUCUGUAAGAUUUGUUGUAUUUGUUGCGAUUAUUGGCGGAGUCCACGGGAUUCAACAUUUCAGAGAAAUGAGAGGGAACGCGACGGACUGGGGAGGAUUUGAAAUGGCGAAAUUUAUGGAGGAUGCGCUUGAGGGUGGAUCUGUUUCCACUCUGCUAGGGCUGCCAUUGCAGGCUGCUAAAGUGUGGCCUGCUUUGGAAUUCGACUGGAGGAUUGUGGUGGCGACCAUUAUUGGAUUCGUUGGAUCGGCUUGCGGAACUGUAGGCGGAGUCGGAGGCGGUGGUAUAUUUGUUCCUAUGCUCAAUCUUAUCGUUGGAUUUGAUACCAAAUCUGCCGCGGCUUUAUCUAAAUGUAUGAUUAUGGGCGCUUCAGCUUCAUCUGUAUGGUAUAAUUUGAGAGUUAGACAUCCUACAAAACACGUGCCAAUUAUUGAUUAUGAUCUUGCACUUCUGUUUCAACCGAUGCUAAUGUUGGGUAUCACAAUUGGAGUGACUCUGAGUGUUAUUUUCCCCUAUUGGCUGAUCACAGUUCUCAUCAUUAUCCUUUUUCUAGGUACAUCUUCUAGAUCAUUUUACAAGGGGAUAGAAAUGUGGAAACGAGAAACAAAGAAAAAGGAGGAGGAGGAAUUAAUGUUGGCUGCAGAAGCAGGUGCAGAUUAUGAAGCGAUUGUAUCUGACCAAGAAGAAAGUGGCACACUUGCAACAAUCCGUUUCAACAUUAAAUGGGCUGGAUUCUCAAUGCUUAUGCUUGUAUGGAUUUUAUUUACAGCUCUACAAAUCAUCAAGAACAAUACUGUUGUUUGUGGUUGGGAGUACUGGGUAUUAAGUGUUCUACAGGUUCCAGUAGCAUUUGGACUUUGUUUAUAUGAAGCAAUAGUACUGUUCAAGAAAAGUAAGCAUAAGAGAGAAUGUGGCGAUACAGAUGAUGUAUGUGAGGCUUCAGUUGAGUGGAGCCCAAUCCAAUUAUUUUUUUGUGCAUUUUGUGGUAUCCUUGGGGGCAUGGUGGGGGGUUUGCUUGGUUCUGGUGGUGGUUUCAUAUUAGGACCUCUACUACUUGAACUUGGUGUAAUUCCACAGGUAGCAAGUGCCACUGCAACCUUCGUGAUGAUGUUUUCUUCCUCACUUUCUGUGAUAGAAUUCUAUUUUCUUGACAGGUUUCCAAUUGGUUAUGCAUUGUAUCUUAUAGGCAUUUCUGUUUUAGCCGGAUUCUGGGGCCAAUAUAUGGUGCGGAAGCUAGUGACAUUUCUGGGAAGGGCUUCAAUUAUUGUCUUCAUUCUUUCUGGUGUAAUUUUUGCCAGUGCAUUGACUAUGGGUGUCGUUGGAAUAGAAACAACAAUUGCCAUGAUGAAAGAACACCAGUACUUGGGUUUCCUUAGUCUGUGCGACGAAUCUUAGCAAAUAAAAUGGCAGAGACUCUGCAGCAUUGGAGCUACUACUUUUGUGCUGUUUUAAUCAGCCUGUUUAUGUCAGUGUGGGCUACUUCAGCAUUUAAUAAAUCUAACUCAUUCUCCUGGUUCGAUAUUUUUUUCAUUCACCUUGCUGCAGGGAUCGCUGUCAUUUGGUAUGGGCCUCCACCUACACAUGGAGGCGUGGAGAAGACACGUCAAGAUAGGACGAAAUGCAUUGCAAAUACUGAAUAAUGUUAACAAUAUGGAUUGAUUCAGGUGCACAAGGACUUAAAAAGGGAUGCUUAGUCAGGUACUAUUUUCAUAUUCCAUACAAGCAAUGAACUAGAACUAUGGUUGUUGAAAGUUUGUAAUUAAAUGACCUGGUUUUGAAUUUCUGCAUACAAUCACUAUUUGAAACUAAGCCUCCUGGUUGGUUUUGGGAUCUAGACAAUUAUCACAGAGCUUCAAAGAAGUGGUUAGUGCAUAGUUUGCACAUCUAUUUUUCGGAGUUCAUGUUUAAGAAACCUUUGUGAGUACCAACUAUGCUAAGAAUUAUUUCAUGUCUUUCGUACAUGAUACUUGCCAUUAAAA